Molecule: long non-coding RNA, 494 nt
Filed under: Nicotiana tabacum (common tobacco)
Lineage: Eukaryota; Viridiplantae; Streptophyta; Magnoliopsida; Solanales; Solanaceae
Description: long non-coding RNA (NTAB_LNC008621)
Source: RNAcentral
UCGCCGGCGUUGGAGGUCAAGCUCCGGCCACGUCACCUAGUGCCACCCCAGCACCACCAACACCCACUACCCCAUCUCCUCCUACUACCCCUGCACCUACUGGUUCUCCUCCGCGAACUCAACCACCUCCAGCAUCUUCCCCGCCGCCGGCAGUUUCAUCUCCGCCACCUACAUCAACAUCACCACCUCCAGCUGUAUCAGCUCCACCACAAGCUACACCUCCACCGGCAGCUACUCCUCCUCCAGUGAGUGCUCCACCACCGGCUAGUCCUCCACCACCAGUUAGCUCUCCACCACCGGCUACUCCUCCACCUGUGGCUACCCCACCACCUCCUGCCACUCCACCUCCCAGCCCACCUCCGCCUGCUGCUGCACCUGCACCAGUUGCAACUCCGCCAGAUUCGACUCCGGCUGCUGCACCUACGACUGUAGCCACAUCUCCGGCACCAUCUCCAUUGGGAGUAUUGAGUCCUCCAGCACCUCCCAUGGGUGCU